AGAUGAAAACAAGCAACAUCCAUCCCACGUCAAUAUUGUGGUGCGACUCGCAAAAUUCCAAAAUGCCAUCUGUUUAAUAUUCGCAGCCGCCAGCUGUCCCACCACCGGAACCGGGCGCCCAUCAACCUCAAACUGAACUUAUCAAACCGACCGUACCUCUAAACUGUAUCCAGCUUUCCAGGAGAAUAAUUACCAUAUUUCAAAUCAUGACCUGGUUGAGAAAUUUCAACCAGUUGUCCGCCAAUUUCUCAAGGCAACCAUCAGUUAAACCAACAUUUACGCCACCAUCACUCACUCGAUUAUUGCAAUUCAGCACUGAGUCUCAGUCUCCGGCGACUGUUGGUAAUUCCGCCAAUAAAUAUGCUGGGUUGGGGCCCACCAAGGGGGACGAAAAGCCGAGGGUGGUGGUUUUGGGUUCGGGAUGGGCCGGGUGCAGGCUUAUUAAGGACAUCGACACCAAGAUCUACGAUGUCGUUUGUGUAUCCCCAAGAAAUCACAUGGUGUUUACUCCUCUAUUAGCUUCCACUUGCGUUGGCACUCUCGAGUUCCGGUCUGUUGCCGAACCCAUUGGGAGGAUCCAGCCUGCAAUUUCUCGUGAGCCUGGUUCUUAUUUCUUUCUUUCUAACUGUACCCGGGCAGAUUUUCAGAACCAAGAGGUUCAUUGUCAAACUGUGAUUGAUGGGGUGGAUACCUUAAAUCCUUGGGGCUUCAAAAUCUCAUAUGAUAAGUUAGUAAUUGCUGCUGGAGCAGAAGCUUCUACAUUUGGAAUUAAGGGUGCAAAAGAACAUGCAAUUUUUCUCCGUGAAGUUCAUCAUGCUCAAGAAAUCAGGAGGAAACUACUACUAAACCUUAUGUUGUCUGAUGUGCCCGGAGUUACUGACGAAGAAAAGCGUAGGCUCCUGCACUGUGUUGUUGUUGGAGGUGGUCCUACUGGGGUCGAGUUCAGUGGAGAACUUAGUGACUUUAUUAUGAAGGAUGUUCGUCAAAGAUAUGCACAUGUGAAAGAUUAUAUUCGUGUUACUUUGGUUGAGGCCAAUGAGAUAUUAUCGUCAUUUGAUGAUCGCCUAAGAACAUAUGCAAUUAAACAAUUAACCAAGUCAGGAGUUCAUCUUGUCCGUGGAAUUGUGAAGGAUGUCCAACCUCGAAAGAUUAUUCUUAGUGAUGGCACAGAUAUUCCAUAUGGUCUCUUAGUGUGGUCUACAGGGGUUGGCCCCUCACCAUUUGUCAAAUCUCUCGAUAUUCCCAAAGCACCUGGUGGAAGGAUUGGAAUUAAUGAAUGGUUACAAGUCCCUUCUGUACAAGAUGUGUUUGCAAUUGGUGACUGCAGUGGGUUUCUUGAAAGUACAGGCAAGCCUGUUCUUCCAGCUCUUGCCCAGGUUGCAGAGCGGCAGGGGAAAUAUCUGGCGAAAUUGUUGAACCGUAUAGGAAAAGCAGGUGGAGGGCAUGCAAAUGCUGCAAAAGAAAUGGACUUUGGGGCUCCAUUUGUCUAUAGGCACUUGGGAAGCAUGGCAACCGUUGGGAGAUACAAGGCCCUUGUGGAUCUUAGGAAGAGCAAGGAGGAAAAGGGUCUAUCACUAGCAGGAUUUACUAGUUGGUUUAUUUGGCGCUCAGCUUAUCUUACUCGGGUCAUAAGCUGGAGGAACAGAUUCUAUGUGGCUAUCAACUGGUUGACAACUUUUGUUUUCGGUCGUGAUAUAAGCCGGAUAUAGACAAGAUUGAAAGGGUGACUUUUAUGUUAAGAAAACAUAUAUCAGUUUCGUCAAUGUGUUGGUGAUGUGUUACUUGAUGGAUGAGAACUUUCGACAGGAUUUCACCAUGGUAACUGAUGCAGCGUUGUCUUUUAAUUUCAAGCAAUGUCAAUGAUUGAUAUUUUACCAUAUAGAAUUGCACACGCACCCCAUUCUCCAAUAGUUUUUACAGGUAUCAUUUCCACGGUGAAAUUUGGAAUAAUAGAUGUUUGAUAUUUGUGUUGGAUGUUCUAGAUGAUAAAUGAUUUUACGUUACUUUGAGGAAUAACAUUUUCUGAAUGUAUAAAACUAUAGUACUUCAAUAAAGGGAAUAUCUUCUACUUCGGCA
Molecule: RNA transcript, 2076 nt
Organism: Olea europaea var. sylvestris
Lineage: Eukaryota; Viridiplantae; Streptophyta; Magnoliopsida; Lamiales; Oleaceae
Gene name: internal alternative NAD(P)H-ubiquinone oxidoreductase A1, mitochondrial-like
Exons: 9
Source: RefSeq, a predicted model, not a curated record